RNAcentral lists this ribosomal RNA (513 nucleotides) under Neonectria sp. FL-2010a. RNAcentral's name for it is "eukaryotic LSU rRNA". The stretch from base 178 to 331 matches the Rfam family "5.8S ribosomal RNA". The record is from RNAcentral. Lineage: Eukaryota; Fungi; Ascomycota; Sordariomycetes; Hypocreales; Nectriaceae.
GUAACAAGGUCUCCGUUGGUGAACCAGCGGAGGGAUCAUUACCGAGUUUACAACUCCCAAACCCCUGUGAACAUACCCAUCGUUGCCUCGGCGGUGCCCGCUCCGGCGGCCCGCCAGAGGACCCCCAAACUCUUGUUUUAUACAGCAUCUUCUGAGUAACACGAUUAAAUAAAUCAAAACUUUCAACAACGGAUCUCUUGGUUCUGGCAUCGAUGAAGAACGCAGCGAAAUGCGAUAAGUAAUGUGAAUUGCAGAAUUCAGUGAAUCAUCGAAUCUUUGAACGCACAUUGCGCCCGCCAGUAUUCUGGCGGGCAUGCCUGUUCGAGCGUCAUUUCAACCCUCAAGCCCCCGGGCUUGGUGUUGGGGAUCGGCGUGCCCUUCGCGGCGCGCCGUCCCCUAAAUCUAGUGGCGGUCUCGCUGCAGCUUCCUCUGCGUAGUAGCACACCUCGCACCGGAGAGCAGCGCGGCCACGCCGUUAAACCCCCCACUUCUGAAAGGUGACCUCGGAUCAGG